UCAGGCCUAACACAUGCAAGUCGAGCGAGGACUUCGGUCCUAGCGGCGGACGGGUGAGCAACGCGUGGGAACGUGCCCUUUGCUUCGGAAUAGCCCUGGGAAACUGGGAGUAAUACCGGAUGAGCCCUACGGGGGAAAGAUUUAUCGGCGAAGGAUCGGCCCGCGUUGGAUUAGGUAGUUGGUGGGGUAAUGGCCUACCAAGCCGACGAUCCAUAGCUGGUUUGAGAGGAUGAUCAGCCACACUGGGACUGAGACACGGCCCAGACUCCUACGGGAGGCAGCAGUGGGGAAUCUUAGACAAUGGGGGAAACCCUGAUCUAGCCAUGCCGCGUGA
Molecule: ribosomal RNA, 334 nt
Filed under: uncultured bacterium
Lineage: Bacteria
Description: bacterial SSU rRNA
Rfam family: Bacterial small subunit ribosomal RNA
Source: RNAcentral